This 104-nucleotide small nuclear RNA is filed under the name Nannospalax galili (Upper Galilee mountains blind mole rat). Lineage: Eukaryota; Metazoa; Chordata; Mammalia; Rodentia; Spalacidae. The record is from RNAcentral.
CUUGCUUCGGCAACAUAAUAUACUAAAAUGAGGGCAGGACAGAGACGAUCCGCGUGCCCCUGUGCAAGGAUGGCUCUCAAGUUCGUGAAACAGUCCAUAUUGUU